UUGUUCACGCUCGGGCCUGAAGUGCGGAGUGCCCCUUACUCAUUGUCCUAUUCUGUUCUCGUUGUAGAUCUGUUCUGAACAUCAGAGAUUUUUUCAGCUCUAAGCAGUGCUUAUCUACACAGUUCGCAUUAUCCUGGGAAGGCAAAAAGUUGAGGACUCGGUUUGUAGAAGCAUGGUAUCAUGGUAGAGAACGGAGUACAGCUGACACUGACGUCCACUGUGAAGAGUACAAGCAAGGCACGAAUCAAUGGAGAAGGGUUGAAUGGAUCGCAUACCAAAGAAAAGCUUGAACAAAAUGGCACCCUACAAGCAUCAAAAGGCCAAAAGCAGCAUCAGUGUGCAACAUGCGCGAAAGGGCAUGCAUGUCAGCUAGUCAUUAACCGGACAAGACAAAUGAGAGUCCUGAUCGAUAAGAAGAAGCCUUACCAAGCACAUUCCAUAUUCAAGCACCUAGUGGAUGAGGGUCACAAGCCUUCAUUGGUCACAUACACAACUCUACUGACUGGCAUGACAAACCAGAGGAUGUUUGAAUCAAUUCCAUCAUUGCUUGCUCAAAUUGAGCUUGCUGGACUGAGGCCAGACUCCAUCUUCUUCAAUGCCUUGAUCAACGCGUUUGUCGAGGCAAAGCGGAUGAGCGAAGCAAUAAACACAUUCUGGAAAAUGAAGCAUUUUGGCUGCCACCCAACCACAAGCACCUUCAACACACUGAUCAAAGGAUACGGCAUUGUAGGCAAACCUGAAGAAUCACAGCGCAUCUUUGACAUGAUGGGUGUCGAAGUAUCAGUCAGGCCUAACCUGACAACAUACAACAUUCUCGUCAAGGCGUGGUGUGAUCAGAGAAAUCUUGAGGAGGCCUGGACCGUCAUGGGCAAGAUGCGAGCGUGCGGUGUCGAGCCUGAUAUUAUCACGUACAACACCAUAGCCAGCGCAUAUGCCAAUAAUAGCGAGACAUGGAGAGCAGAAGAGCUCAUCGUGGAAAUUCAGACUAGAGUGCGCACCAGCGAGCGAACAUGGGGCAUAAUCAUUGGUGGUUAUUGCCGGGAAGGCAGGUUGGAGGAGGCAUUCCGUUGCGUUCGGCAAAUGAAGGGUGCAGGAGUCCUUCCCAACGUUGUCAUCUUCAACACAUUGCUGAAGGGCUUCCUCGAUUCAAAUGACAUGGCUGCAGUUGAUAAUAUCCUUGGGCUGAUGGAGCAGUUUGGCAUAAAGCCAGACAUUGUCACCUACAGCCACCAGUUGAACGCAUUCAGCUCGCUUGGCCACAUGGCCAAAUGCAUGAAGGUGUUCGACAAGAUGAUUGAGGCAGGAAUCGAGCCAGAUCCUCAGGUGUACAGCAUUCUUGCCAAAGGAUACGUCCGUGCUCAGCAGCCUGAGAAAGCAGAAGAGCUCCUCCUGCAAAUGAGCCAGCUCGGUAUCCGCCCAAAUGUCGUCACUUUCACAACUGUCAUUAGCGGGUGGUGCAGCGUAGCUGACAUGGAAAAUGCUAUGAGAGUCUAUGUGAGGAUGCGCGACUCAAGCGUCCAUCCUAACCUCAGGACAUUCGAGACGCUGAUAUGGGGUUACAGUGAACAGAAGCAGCCAUGGAAAGCUGAGGAAGUCCUUCAGAUGAUGCAGGAGGCUGGUAUCAAGCCAAAGCAAAGCACCUACAGUCUCAUUGCUGACGCAUGGAAAGCUGUUGGCUUGAUUGAGAACACCAAUCGGGCAAAUGGUUCCUCCAAUGGUCGUCAUGCGAUCGACAAAUCAGAUCAUUUAGAUGAUGAUAACAACCUGCAAAGAUCAGAAGACGAUAACAAGCUGCAAAGUUUCGAAGAAAGUAAUGGACACACAAUGAAUGGUCCGUCUCAUUCCAGUUUUCUGCAGGUGACAAGAGCGCUAGGAAGCAGUGGUAUAGUUCCUUGCAAGAUUCAGAAGGCAGUAGAAUUUCCAUCCAAAAGUCUACACGCUGUUAAGAAUACAUCCUUGCUACAACGAUCUUGUCAGUUUCAACUGCGGUAUUCCGGGUUUUGCAGGAAGCAGCUGCAGAAGCAGAAGCAUGGUGGAUUAUACAGGCAGAGCACUAACUCAUUCAAGAUGUCUUUUAGUGUUUCUGUGGAAAGAUAACUUGAUCUGAAGUACAUUGCAAAAAAAGGGGGCUUAAUCUGAAGCUGCGAAAGGUGCCAACAUUCUGAUAUCAUUCAGUUCCGAGUCUGUAGCGUGACCGAUUUGUGAGGACACUCUGUUCAGUUUGAAGCACAGUUUACUUCUAAAGAUACUAAAUCAAAAUUAAUUUCUCUGGAAGACUUCAACUGAAUUCUUGCAGCGCUUGUUAGUGACCCCCAAGUAGCUCCACAGCAACGUCAUUUGCCCUGAGAAGCUGAUGUUAAUUAUUCUAGUUAUUCCGUUUUAGCAAUGAUAUCUGCAAAGUGUUGCAAACUGAAAUGUUUGUGCUGAUUGUAAUUCAAGGAAUUGUAAAAUUUAUUAGGUGUAACUAAUGAAUAUAAAUGUACAGGGAAAGAUAUUUUUCCCCUUCUCCUUA
This is an RNA transcript of Phragmites australis (common reed), 2512 nucleotides long. It is a transcript of the gene named pentatricopeptide repeat-containing protein At5g25630-like, with no coding region annotated. The record is from RefSeq and is a predicted model, not a curated record. The transcript has 7 exons. Lineage: Eukaryota; Viridiplantae; Streptophyta; Magnoliopsida; Poales; Poaceae.